This 462-nucleotide ribosomal RNA is filed under the name uncultured bacterium. Its description in RNAcentral is "partial 16S ribosomal RNA". It matches the Rfam family "Bacterial small subunit ribosomal RNA", at positions 28 to 507 of the family's 1533-position model. The record is from RNAcentral.
GACGAACGCUGGCGGCGUGCUUAACACAUGCAAGUCGAACGGAAAGGCCCUUCGGGGUACUCGAGUGGCGAACGGGUGAGUAACACGUGGGUGAUCUGCCCUGCACUUUGGGAUAAGCCUGGGAAACUGGGUCUAAUACCGAAUAGGACCACGCGCUUCAUGGUGUGUGGUGGAAAGCUUUUGCGGUGUGGGAUGGGCCCGCGGCCUAUCAGCUUGUUGGUGGGGUAAUGGCCUACCAAGGCGACGACGGGUAGCCGGCCUGAGAGGGUGACCGGCCACACUGGGACUGAGAUACGGCCCAGACUCCUACGGGAGGUAGCAGUGGGGAAUAUUGCACAAUGGGCGCAAGCCUGAUGCAGCGACGCCGCGUGAGGGAUGACGGCCUUCGGGUUGUAAACCUCUUUCACCAGGGACGAAGCGUAAGUGACGGUACCUGGAGAAGAAGCACCGGCCAACUACGUG